ACCCAUCCAUCCCAGGGCCACAGACAGCCUUUCCAUAACUGUCCUUGUCACCAUGACACCAGAGGAAAGUGUGUCUAAAGCAGUUGACUACUAAAGCCUAAUGGUAAAUAAAUCCUCAGUUCAUCUGGCUUUUCCAUGAUGAAAAUCUACAUGGAUUAGAAGUCUGUUUAGUUUACAGAUGACUUCUUGCAGCACCCAGGAACACAGCAGAAUUAAAUAAUUGACCUUUAACAAUACCAUACAUUGUAAACUGAUGGCAGCCAGAAAGAUAUUGGGAAACAACUGACUGAAACUGUGUUCUCUCUCUUACUAGCAAUGAGGCCAGGUUGUGCUAUCAAAACAAAACACAAGGUCUUGGAGUGACUGAGAGAAUGGUGUGAAGUAAGGUUGAAAUCUCCACCUUUGACCAUGUCAUUAACUAAACUUCCCAGUUAGGUUUUAGAAUACAAUCACACUUUUGGAGUAAAAAUUAAGCAAUCAUAUAUGGUAAUUCUUUGUCAAUUGUGUAUGAGAACAGUUAAUAACUUUAUAAUGCACACAGAUACACACACACAUAUAUAUGAUUUUCAAGGUGCGGUGUCACACACUUUUAGUCCCAGC
RNAcentral lists this long non-coding RNA (600 nucleotides) under Rattus norvegicus (Norway rat). RNAcentral's name for it is "long non-coding RNA NONRATT006975". The record is from RNAcentral. Lineage: Eukaryota; Metazoa; Chordata; Mammalia; Rodentia; Muridae.